This 439-nucleotide ribosomal RNA is filed under the name uncultured bacterium. Its description in RNAcentral is "partial 16S ribosomal RNA". It matches the Rfam family "Bacterial small subunit ribosomal RNA", at positions 338 to 794 of the family's 1533-position model. The record is from RNAcentral.
CCUACGGGGUGCAGCAGUAGGGAAUAUUGCUCAAUGGGGGAAACCCUGAAGCAGCAACGCCGCGUGGAGGAUGAAGGUUUUAGGAUUGUAAACUCCUUUUGUGAGAGAAGAUAAGGACGGUAUCUCGCGAAUAAGCACCGACUAACUCCGUGCCAGCAGCCGCGGUAAUACGGAGGGUGCAGGCGUUGCUCGGAAUCACUGGGCGUAAAGAGUGCGCGGGCGGGCUUGUAAGUCAGAAGUGAAAGGCUGUAGCUUAACUACAGAACUGCAGUUAAAACUAUGAGUCUAGAGUGUGGGAGAGGGAGGUGGAAUUCUUGGUGUAGGGGUAAAAGCGGUAGAUAUCAAGAGGAAUACUGAUUGCGAAGGCGACCUACUGGAACAUUACGGACGCUCAUGCACGAAGGCGUGGGGGGCAAACAGGAUUAGAUACCCUUGUAGU